Molecule: long non-coding RNA, 788 nt
Filed under: Panax ginseng (ginseng)
Lineage: Eukaryota; Viridiplantae; Streptophyta; Magnoliopsida; Apiales; Araliaceae
Description: long non-coding RNA (PGIN_LNC017168)
Source: RNAcentral
UCCACACUAUAUAAUUAGACAGAGAAAAAAUUAAAAGUAACAAAAAGCAAAAGAGCAAGAAAUUAGAGAUCUGAAAAGCUAUGAACCAACCUGUCUUGUACCAAAAUUAAAGAACAGGUAGUGUGAAAAAGUUCAGAUUUUUCUACACAAAUAAGGAUCAAAGAGGAUUUAUAAUAGAACCUAAUCCUUGUAAAAUAAGACCUAAAACCAACCUGAGGGAAAAAAAAACCUUUUAGUUGCUUUGAUGAAUUAAAAAGGAAAACUGAUGUUAAUACCAACAAAAAAAACAAAAAUUGGAUCACUAUUCUGAAACACCUGGCUUUCAAAAACACCCUUAUGGGCUUGAUUCUUUUUGUGUAAUUCAAAAUCAAGAAAACAAACCCAGAAAAAUUGAAGCUUGAAAGACAGACGAUUACAGAAAGGGAUCUGAGAAGCGGGGAAUCAGGAGAAGGGGUAGAGAGAACGAAGAAGAUGAUCAAAACACUCAAAAUAUUUGUGGUGGCCUCACUUUGAUUUUUCUCUCUUGCAGAAAUGGUGACCCUAUAAUUGUCUAUAUAAAGGCCAAGGCCAGCUCCAUAUUUUGUCUCUCUUAACCCACCUAUUUUUUGCUUAAUUAUCACUUUCCGUGUAUCUACUACCAAUUCUAUGACUGCAACCCAAUCAAAAACAUGACACCUACAACCAUGACCGGAUUUGGCUAGAGUGUUUAGCCUCUCUUUUUUUUUAUAAUUCCCGUAUGUUCUAACAAAUUACAUUGACCGAUGGAUAGUAUGAGCUUCUUCUUUUUU